UACGUAGGGUGCGAGCGUUGUCCGGAAUUACUGGGCGUAAAGAGCUCGUAGGUGGUUUGUCGCGUUGUCCGUGAAAACUCACAACUCAAUUGUGGGCGUGCGGGCGAUACGGGCAGACUGGAGUACUGCAGGGGAGACUGGAAUUCCUGGUGUAGCGGUGAAAUGCGCAGAUAUCAGGAGGAACACCGGUGGCGAAGGCGGUUCUCUGGGAAUAUCCUGACGCUGAGGAGCGAAAGUGUGGGGAGCAAACAGG
RNAcentral lists this ribosomal RNA (253 nucleotides) under uncultured bacterium. Its description in RNAcentral is "partial 16S ribosomal RNA". It matches the Rfam family "Bacterial small subunit ribosomal RNA", at positions 524 to 776 of the family's 1533-position model. The record is from RNAcentral.